RNAcentral lists this ribosomal RNA (498 nucleotides) under uncultured bacterium. RNAcentral describes it as "partial 16S ribosomal RNA". It matches the Rfam family "Bacterial small subunit ribosomal RNA", at positions 28 to 507 of the family's 1533-position model. The record is from RNAcentral.
GACGAACGCUGGCGGCGUGCCUAAUACAUGCCAGUCGAGCGGACGGAUGGGAGCUUGCUCCCAGACCGUCAGCGGCGGACGGGUGAGUAACACGUGGGCAACCUGCCUGUAAGACUGGGAUAACUCCGGGAAACCGGGGCUAAUACCGGAUAACUCUUUCCCUCACAUGAGGGAAAGCUGAAAGAUGGCAUCUCGCUAUCACUUACAGAUGGGCCCGCGGCGCAUUAGCUAGUUGGUGAGGUAACGGCUCACCAAGGCGACGAUGCGUAGCCGACCUGAGAGGGUGAUCGGCCACACUGGGACUGAGACACGGCCCAGACUCCUACGGGAGGCAGCAGUGGGGAAUCUUCCGCAAUGGACGAAAGUCUGACGGAGCAACGCCGCGUGAGUGAUGAAGGUUUUCGGAUCGUAAAACUCUGUUGUCAGGGAAGAACAAGUACCGGAGUAACUGCCGGUACCUUGACGGUACCUGACCAGAAAGCCACGGCUAACUACGUG